UACGGGGGGGGCAAGCGUUGUUCGGAAUUACUGGGCGUAAAGGGCUCGUAGGCGGCCAACUAAGUCAGACGUGAAAUCCCUCGGCUUAACCGGGGAACUGCGUCUGAUACUGGAUGGCUUGAGGUUGGGAGAGGGAUGCGGAAUUCCAGGUGUAGCGGUGAAAUGCGUAGAUAUCUGGAGGAACACCGGUGGCGAAGGCGGCAUCCUGGACCAAUUCUGACGCUGAGGAGCGAAAGCCAGGGGGGCAAACGGG
Molecule: ribosomal RNA, 253 nt
Filed under: uncultured bacterium
Lineage: Bacteria
Description: partial 16S ribosomal RNA
Rfam family: Bacterial small subunit ribosomal RNA
Source: RNAcentral